This 490-nucleotide ribosomal RNA is filed under the name uncultured bacterium. Its description in RNAcentral is "partial 16S ribosomal RNA". It matches the Rfam family "Bacterial small subunit ribosomal RNA", at positions 30 to 507 of the family's 1533-position model. The record is from RNAcentral.
AUUGAACGCUGGCGGCAGGCCUAACACAUGCAAGUCGAACGGUAACAGGAAGAAGCUUGCUUCUUUGCUGACGAGUGGCGGACGGGUGAGUAAUGUCUGGGAAACUGCCUGAUGGAGGGGGAUAACUACUGGAAACGGUAGCUAAUACCGCAUAACGUCGCAAGACCAAAGAGGGGGACCUUCGGGCCUCUUGCCAUCGGAUGUGCCCAGAUGGGAUUUGCUAGUAGGUGGGGUAACGGCUCACCUAGGCGACGAUCCCUAGCUGGUCUGAGAGGAUGACCAGCCACACUGGAACUGAGACACGGUCCAGACUCCUACGGGAGGCAGCAGUGGGGAAUAUUGCACAAUGGGCGCAAGCCUGAUGCAGCCAUGCCGCGUGUAUGAAGAAGGCCUUCGGGUUGUAAAGUACUUUCAGCGGGGAGGAAGGGAGUAAAGUUAAUACCUUUGCUCAUUGACGUUACCCGCAGAAGAAGCACCGGCUAACUCCGUG